UUUUUUGAUCUUUCUCCCCACAUAUUUGUGCCUGUAUGCAUAUAAAAAUGAACCAAAUUAAUUGAAGUUACAAAUGUACCCCCCAUCCUCUCUCAGCAGCUCCGGAUGAAGACGUAACCUAUUCUGAGGUCAAAACCAUCAACCCUACCGCCUCCAACACUGUGUGCCACUGUGGUUCAGCAGGGCACAGUGGGCAAAGCACAUAUCCCUACAGACGGGUUGCAGUGAGUCUGGGGCUGCUGUGUGCUCUCGUAUUGGCUGCCACAGUAGUCCUGUGUCUCCUCUAUGCAAGUCUAUCAGAUAACUAUUCAAUGUUGGAGAGAGAUCUGGAGGAGCUCAGAAGCAAUUGCAGCAGCAUGAAUACAUAGAAAGUCCAGCUACAGAAUCCUGGGGGAAAGGAAAGUCAGAUGGUAAAAAUAAAUUUGGUUGUGCCAUGAUUGCCCCUAAUGUGAAUGCAUGGAAUGCUUCUCACUGUUCUUAUGACCAUUAUUUCAUCUGUGAGACUAAUGCUCUGCUUCCCUAAACCAUUUUUUAUCAUUGUAUGUUUUUGGUUCUCUCAUCUUGUGAGAGGCCGUUGACCAUGCCAGGUUUGACAGUCAAACACAGGACCAAUAAGCAGACCACAAUGUUACCGUUUUUGUUGGGAAUAUAUGGAAUAUACAUACUGCUGUCUUUACUAGAAAUGUAUCUGUGAGACUAAGCUUUAUUAAAUGCAUUGAAAUUACUGUACAUGCAGAGUAGAUUUAAGCUAUUACAUUAUUGGUUCUAUGGACAUAUUGUAAGUAUAAAAAAUCAAAAACAAUACAUUUGAAAUGGUCCUCAUCUUGCUGUUGUGAUACUGUAAAUUUAAAUUGAAAUAGAGAACAGCAGUCACUGCUUAAAAAGCAAAUUUGUUCAUUGGGCCUCAUUUAUCAAUAAUUUCGUAAAUAUGCACAUAAGUUUCCCCGUAAAAUUAUACAAACGAACAACUGCCGCCGCAUUUAUCAAAUGUUUGGAGGCACUUAGUUUCAAUCUUAUCCCUGUGUGUAUGUUGAUAAAUCCAAAUCAGUCGUAAAUUGGAAGCGCGUUCGCGGUCGCCUCAUUGUAGCGCACCUCACGCGGUGACAGGGGGUCGGCCAGUGGGGUCAUCAACCCCUGCUUCAGCAGGUAACCCAUGUGUUGGAAUGGCAUAAGAUCUUCUUGUUUGCCUCGUUAAGUCUGGCUCUACGAUGCUGCACAGUCUCAAUUUAGAAGGGUUCUAGGGAAUCGGAACCGACUCAUGAGCCACUCGUCGUCCUCGGCAAAAAAGUCAUACCGGUCCCUGAAAAUGCGAUCUCGCCGAAGUGCUCUCGCCAAAUCCUCUAAUAGUGCAAGGUCCGCCAUUGCAAGCUUGGACUUAACAGCAUUUUGGCCAUUUAAAUAGUAUUUCUCAUCAAUUAUUUAAAAAACAAAACUGCAAUUAUGAAAUCAUAGCAACUCUUUGUAAUGCUAUUACUCAUUUCAAAUAUUUUUGUUUUACUUAAUUAAAAUAGUAUUCGCAACCAAUUUAUGUUAGUUUCUUUAUAAUUUAUCUUUCUUUAUGAUAUUUCAAUAUUUCAUGAGAAAAUACAUGGACAAAGAAGCCCAUUUAAUGACCAAUUUCAUCAAUAAAAGUGUAAAAUUCAAGUUAAAAGACGAACUGCGGAGUUUACACACACUCUGCGUGUGGUCUCAGGUUUUCAUAAAUUUCCUUCACACGUCUGAACAAGUUGGACUCCCUAAAACUUUCAUUAAUCCCAGUUUUCAUGUGUAAAUGUUGGUACAAAGGAAUUACGAGAAAUUUUGUUUGUAUGUUGCUUGAUAAAUGAGGCCCAUUGUGUGAAAGUAUGAGCUAAUAGGAAGAGCUCUUAGUACCUACUUACUCACUAUCUCAUAAAGGCUCUCCAAACAGACGCUGUGUCCUAAAGACAUAAGCCACAUGUACCCACAAGUAAACAAGUGGCAUGUGACUCUAUGGCUUAAAUUCAAAAAACAUUUAUCCUCAACUCUGACUUACAAGUAAUAUCCUUGCUUUAUAAUCCUUGCUGCAAUUGAUAGUCAAAUUUAAGGACUAAUGUUUAUUGAAUUUAGGCGUAUGUGGUUCCUGUGUUACAUUAAUCUCAAUCUGGCUGUAUCACAGAAGCAAGUCCACAAGCUAAGAGUGUGUGUAAAUGUUACAUUAAUACUCAUAAAUACCAAACUGAUAAAGCACUAAAAAUUAUAUUCCAUGCAUUUUUGAAGACUUUUCAAAGUGUAUUAAACUGUGUCAUUAAAGUUUUUGUUAUUCUGAAUGUUAGUUUGCUGCUGAAAUAUUCUGCUUCAAUUUCA
Anguilla anguilla (European eel) is the source of this 2325-nucleotide long non-coding RNA. RefSeq lists it as uncharacterized. The transcript is spliced from 4 exons. The record is from RefSeq and is a predicted model, not a curated record. Lineage: Eukaryota; Metazoa; Chordata; Actinopteri; Anguilliformes; Anguillidae.